GCUGGGCAUGGUGGUGCAUGCCUGUAGUCCCAGCUACUCAGGAGGCUGAGACAGGAGAAUCGCUUGAAUCCAGGAGAUGGAGUUUGCAGUGAGCCGAGAUCACGCCACUGCACUCCAGCCUGGGCAACAGAGCAAGACUCUGUCUCAA
Molecule: non-coding RNA, 148 nt
Filed under: Nomascus leucogenys (northern white-cheeked gibbon)
Lineage: Eukaryota; Metazoa; Chordata; Mammalia; Primates; Hylobatidae
Source: Rfam by way of RNAcentral